Molecule: ribosomal RNA, 500 nt
Filed under: uncultured bacterium
Lineage: Bacteria
Description: partial 16S ribosomal RNA
Rfam family: Bacterial small subunit ribosomal RNA
Source: RNAcentral
AUUGAACGCUGGCGGAAUGCUUUACACAUGCAAGUCGAACGGCAGCACGGACUUCGGUCUGGUGGCGAGUGGCGAACGGGUGAGUAAUGUAUCGGAACGUGCCCAGUCGUGGGGGAUAACGUAGUGAAAAUUACGCUAAUACCGCAUACGAUCUAUGGAUGAAAGCGGGGGAUCGCAAGACCUCGCGCGAUUGGAGAGGCCGAUAUCAGAUUAGGUAGGUGGUGGGGUAAAGGCCCACCAAGCCAACGAUCUGUAGCGGGUCUGAGAGGACGACCAGCCACACUGGAACUGAGACACGGUCCAGACUCCUACGGGAGGCAGCAGUGGGGAAUUUUGGACAAUGGGCGAAAGCCUGAUCCAGCCAUUCCGCGUGCAGGAUGAAGGCCCUCGGGUUGUAAACUGCUUUUGUACAGAACGAAAAGGUUUCUACUAAUACUAGGAGCUCAUGACGGUACUGUAAGAAUAAGCACCGGCUAACUACGUGCCAGCCGCCGCCGUAA